GUGAAUCAUCGAAUCUUUGAACGCACAUUGCGCCCGCCGGUAUUCCGGCGGGCAUGCCUGUUCGAGCGUCAUUUACACCGCUCAGGCUCUUGUGGCCUGGUGUUGGGGCUGCUACGGUACGCCGUAGGCCCCCAAAGUCAGUGGCGAGCCUGCCGGGCCUCCGAGCGCAGUAAAAUGCCUCGCUCCGGAGCCCCCCGCGGGACCUGCCGUAAAGCAAACCCCAUUUACAACCUUGACCUCGGAUCAGGUAGGGAUACCCGCUGAACUUAAGCAUAUCAAUAAGCGGAGGA
Molecule: unclassified non-coding RNA, 290 nt
Filed under: Sordariomycetes sp.
Lineage: Eukaryota; Fungi; Ascomycota; Sordariomycetes
Description: partial contains 5.8S ribosomal RNA, internal transcribed spacer 2, and large subunit ribosomal RNA
Rfam family: 5.8S ribosomal RNA (bases 1-71)
Source: RNAcentral